This 297-nucleotide ribosomal RNA is filed under the name Aegires punctilucens. RNAcentral's name for it is "partial 28S ribosomal RNA". It matches the Rfam family "Eukaryotic large subunit ribosomal RNA", at positions 76 to 365 of the family's 3401-position model. The record is from RNAcentral. Lineage: Eukaryota; Metazoa; Mollusca; Gastropoda; Nudibranchia; Aegiretidae.
UCCCUCAGUAACGGCGAGUGAAGCGGGAAGAGCCCAGCACCGAAUCCCCCGGCCGUUGGGCCGGCGGGAACUGUGGUGUGCGGGACGCCACCAGCCGCGCGGGCGGGUGCCCAAGUCCUCCUGAUCGAGGCCUCUCCCAUGGCGGGUGUAAGGCCUUUGCAGGUGCCGGCGCGCGCGGCCGCGAGCGUCCCAGGAGUCGGGUUGUUUGGGAAUGCAGCCCAAAGUGGGUGGUAAACUCCAUCUAAGGCUAAAUACUGGCGCGAGUCCGAUAGCGAACAAGUACCGUGAGGGAAGGUU